RNAcentral lists this long non-coding RNA (1973 nucleotides) under Mus musculus (house mouse). RNAcentral's name for it is "long non-coding RNA chr2:120850679-120852652". The record is from RNAcentral. Lineage: Eukaryota; Metazoa; Chordata; Mammalia; Rodentia; Muridae.
GGGACUCGUAGUUCCAGCCUCCGCUGCAACGGCCGGCCUGUCCUGAGGAGAGAUGUAAGGCGCAGUGCUUCUGAGAGCCGACUUCAGUAGGUGUUCUCCUAGCUCAGCGUGCUUAUGGCCACAGAGUUGGGCCCUUUGGAAGAAAAUUGGUAAUGCUUUGUCACUGAGGCGGUCGCGUCGAGAAUCGUGAGGCCGGGUCAUUGCUUAAGGUCUACUCGCCUGCUCAGACCUAGAGCUGCCAGGAUCUGGGAAAUGGGCGCUGUCCCCUAACCUAAGCUGCUAACUAGGGCCGGGAAACCCGAAGGUAUUGGGAGAAAAGAAAGGAGUUACAAAGAUGUCAGCCUGGCGAGGGAGUGCCCAUUCACAACCCACGAAAAAAGAUUUCAUUGGCUUUUUGAUAAAGACAAUGAACAACUUUCAUGUGGACCAGUCUGGGACUCUAAGCUUGGAGUUUGCAGGAGUGGCUCAAGACACACAAAGACUAACUAUGAAGGGUGGGACACCGAGGCUGUAUGGGAGACGUAUUUCAUGUUGAAUGUGCCAAGCUCUUUGGUGAAAAAAAACAAAACAAAACCUAAGAGUAAGUCCCUCUUCUUUCUUUACUAUCCAUUAUAUAGACAUUAAAAAUUAAGAAUAAACUUUACCAAGAUCACAAAACUGAUGUCAAAACCAAACUGCGGACCUAUUCCAUAUUGUAUGCCCAACGUUCUUUUUUCCUUAACAAUUGCAAUGACUGCCACGAGUUUGCCAGGAACAGAGAGGAUGCAAUGGUAUGAAUUGUAAAGGUUCACUUUUUGUUUUUGUUUUUGUUUUUGUUUUUGUUUUUCGAGACAAGGUUUCUCUGUAUAUCCCUGGCUGUCCUGGAACUCACUCUGUAGACCAGGCUGGCCUCGAACUCAGAAAUCUGCCUGCCUCUGCUUCCCGAGUGCUGGGAUUAAAGGCGUGCGCCACCACACCCGGCUCAAAGGUUCACUUUUACUUUCAAAUAUUUUCUUAGGUGACAAAAGUGUUCUUACUGUUAAGGAACUACCAUCCUCUUUAUAUUCCUUUACAAGCAGGAGACAUCCUUACUGCCUGUCAUGUGCAGACUCUUGGACAGAAACCAAAACAAAAGACAACUGAUGGUGAGGUCAUCUUGUUCUAUUCAAACAUGAAGGCGUUGCCAGAUUGUUUUGUUUCUAUUGAUGAAAGUUGGAAAAUGCUUUUUUCCCCCAUUAUUCAAUACAGACAUGUGCUACAAAAACAGGUAGAAUUUAAAAAUUAGGUUAAGAUACAAAUGGGUUUCAUUGUGGAAUCUUCAUUGUUUUCUUUUAAAGAUAGGCUGUAGCCCCCAUGAAGCCCUGAAUAGCCUCAGUUUUUUGAUCUUCCUGCCUCAGUCUUGGGCAUGCUGCAAUUACAGCUUCCAGCUGGCAUCUUGACAAUCACCUUGUAAAAUAAGCCAAGCCGGAAUCAGCUAGCUAAGCCAUUCCCCACAUUCAGCCCCACAAAAAUAUGAUACAAUAAAUGUUUAAGGUUUAAUCUGCAGUAUCAAAAAUAAAUGUUUACUAUUAUCUUCAACACUGGUUGAUUGUGUGGCGAUAACUACUAAUACAGAAAGAUUUGGGAAAAUAGGCAGUGAUGGUGCACACCUUUAGUCCCAGCACUCAGGAGACAGAGGCAGGCGUUUCUCUGUGAGUUUGAGGUCACCCUGGUCUACAGAGAGAGUUCCAGGACAACCAGGGCUACACAGAGAAACCCUGCUUUAAAAUAAAAAAAGAAAAGAAAAGAGAUUUGGGGAAAUAAAGGUGAAAUAGAAGACUGACUCAGGUGUGCGGAUACUCUGGAUACAUGAAGGAACAAAACUCAGACUUAAGAAAAAUCUUACAAAGUAGUCAGUAAGAUUCAGUUUUAUACCAGGUAGACUUCAUAUAAGACAUAAUUCACUUUACAAUAGUUAUUUUCCCCUUUGCUCCAGCAUGAAAUAAACAAUACAC